AUUGAACGCUGGCGGCAGGCCUAACACAUGCAAGUCGCACGAGUGGCGGACGGGUGAGUAAUGUCUGGGAAUCUGCCCGAUGGAGGGGGAUAACUACUGGAAACGGUGGCUAAUACCGCAUACCAUCGGAUGUGCCCAUAUGGGAUUAGCUAGUAGGUGGGGUAAAGGCUCACCUAGGCGACGAUCUCUAGCUGGUCUGAGAGGAUGACCAGCCACACGGGAACUGAGACAUGGUCCAGACUGCUACGGGAGGCAGCAGGGGGGAAUAUUGCACAAUGGGCGCAAGCCUGAUGCAGCCAGGCCGCGUGUAGGAAGAAGGCCUUAGGGUUGGAAAGUACGUUCAGCGGGGAGGCGUUACCCGCAGAAGAAGCACCGGCUAACUCCGUGCCAGCAGCCGCGGUAAUAC
This 406-nucleotide ribosomal RNA is filed under the name uncultured bacterium. RNAcentral's name for it is "partial 16S ribosomal RNA". It matches the Rfam family "Bacterial small subunit ribosomal RNA", at positions 29 to 526 of the family's 1533-position model. The record is from RNAcentral.